GAUGAACGCUAGCGAUAGGCCUAACACAUGCAAGUCGAGGGGCAUCACAUGAAGUAGCAAUACGGAUGGUGGCGACCGGCGCACGGGUGAGUAACACGUAGGUUAUCUGCCCCCAUCACAGACAUAACCUCGGGAAACCGAGGCUAAUAUCUGAUGAGGUCGUGAGAUCAAAGCUUCGGCGGAUGGGGAUGAGCCUGCGGCUGAUUAGCUAGUUGGUGGGGUAACGGCCUACCAAGACGAUGAUGCGUAGCCGACCUGAGAGGGUGAACGGCCACACUGGGACUGAGACACGGCCCAGACUCCUACGGGAGGCAGCAGUAGGGAAUUUUGGACAAUGGGCGCAAGCCUGAUCCAGCCAUGCCGCGUGAGUGAAGAAGGCCUCGG
Molecule: ribosomal RNA, 384 nt
Filed under: uncultured bacterium
Lineage: Bacteria
Description: bacterial SSU rRNA
Rfam family: Bacterial small subunit ribosomal RNA
Source: RNAcentral